Parasteatoda tepidariorum (common house spider) is the source of this 576-nucleotide non-coding RNA. The record is from RefSeq and is a predicted model, not a curated record. NCBI's taxonomy places the organism in Eukaryota, Metazoa, Arthropoda, Arachnida, Araneae, Theridiidae.
GACAGGUUAAAACUUGAAUCAAAAUCGCUUUCUGAAUAAUGGAUUAAAAUUCAUUUACAAAAAUUUUAUUAGAAAGACCUUGUAAAAAAGUUUUACCCAACAAAACUGUAGGAUGUGUAAUUAUUGAAUAAUAAAAAAUUGAAGUACGUAAACUAUUUAAAAAUGAGUUAUUGUUCUUUGAACUUCUUUUUAAAGACUAUUCCACUUUAGUUGAAAACAAAUUCAGAAAGCUCUAAAAUUAUAAUGCAAGUAAUAUUAGUUCACUAUAAUAUUCCUUGCAUUUUGUUUUUCUAAUAACGUAAAUUUCCUUUUUUAAUAAACUCAUGAACUCUUAAAACAGUUUUGGCAUUUAUAAUUUUUUUUAGCAAAGAGAAAAGUUAAUUUAUAGUUAAAAAAAUUAACUGGAAAAUUUUAAUGUCUUAACUGAUGAAAAUAAAAUACAACUAAUUCCAUGUAAAAAUUAAUCAUUUUUCAUGUAAAAAUUAAAGAAGACAGAAAUCAGUGGAUAUGAAACAAUUUUAAGUAUCGAAGAACGUGCAUACUAACUUGAAGAAUGAAGUGCUUGUUGAUGUUAUU